RNAcentral lists this ribosomal RNA (424 nucleotides) under Escherichia coli. RNAcentral's name for it is "partial 23S ribosomal RNA". It matches the Rfam family "Bacterial large subunit ribosomal RNA", at positions 1 to 464 of the family's 2925-position model. The record is from RNAcentral. Lineage: Bacteria; Pseudomonadati; Pseudomonadota; Gammaproteobacteria; Enterobacterales; Enterobacteriaceae.
GGUUAAGCGACUAAGCGUACACGGUGGAUGCCCUGGCAGUCAGAGGCGAUGAAGGACGUGCUAAUCUGCGAUAAGCGUCGGUAAGGUGAUAUGAACCGUUAUAACCGGCGAUUUCCGAAUGGGGAAACCCAGUGUGUUUCGACACACUAUCAUUAACUGAAUCCAUAGGUUAAUGAGGCGAACCGGGGGAACUGAAACAUCUAAGUACCCCGAGGAAAAGAAAUCAACCGAGAUUCCCCCAGUAGCGGCGAGCGAACGGGGAGCAGCCCAGAGCCUGAAUCAGUGUGUGUGUUAGUGGAAGCGUCUGGAAAGGCGCGCGAUACAGGGUGACAGCCCCGUACACAAAAAUGCACAUGCUGUGAGCUCGAUGAGUAGGGCGGGACACGUGGUAUCCUGUCUGAAUAUGGGGGGACCAUCCUCCAAG